This 480-nucleotide ribosomal RNA is filed under the name uncultured organism. Its description in RNAcentral is "partial 16S ribosomal RNA". It matches the Rfam family "Bacterial small subunit ribosomal RNA", at positions 330 to 801 of the family's 1533-position model. The record is from RNAcentral.
CGUACACUCCUACGGGAGGCAGCAGUGGGGAAUAUUGCACAAUGGGCGCAAGCCUGAUGCAGCCAUGCCGCGUGUAUGAAGAAGGCCUUCGGGUUGUAAAGUACUUUCAGCGGGGAGGAAGGCGAUAAGGUUAAUAACCUUGUCGAUUGACGUUACCCGCAGAAGAAGCACCGGCUAACUCCGUGCCAGCAGCCGCGGUAAUACGGAGGGUGCAAGCGUUAAUCGGAAUUACUGGGCGUAAAGCGCACGCAGGCGGUCUGUCAAGUCGGAUGUGAAAUCCCCGGGCUCAACCUGGGAACUGCAUUCGAAACUGGCAGGCUAGAGUCGUGUAGAGGGGGGUAGAAUUCCAGGUGUAGCGGUGAAAUGCGUAGAGAUCUGGAGGAAUACCGGUGGCGAAGGCGGCCCCCUGGACAAAGACUGACGCUCAGGUGCGAAAGCGUGGGGAGCAAACAGGAUUAGAAACCCUUGUAGUCCCAUGAU